Molecule: long non-coding RNA, 261 nt
Filed under: Homo sapiens (human)
Lineage: Eukaryota; Metazoa; Chordata; Mammalia; Primates; Hominidae
Description: non-protein coding lnc-PANX1-1:1
Source: RNAcentral
CCUACACAGUGAUUAUGGGUAUUGGUACUUUAGGCUCAAUCUAGACCUGGGUUCAAAUCUCAGUUAUUUCACUGAUUAGGCUUAACUUUAGUUAAGUCUUUUACUUUCUGUGUCCUCAAUUGUAAAAUUGGAAUAAUAUCUGUGCCUUUAGGUUGCUAGGAGAAAUGAAUGAAAUGAUACAAGUAAGGUAGAAAGCAGAGUGCUUUCUACAAGCCAAGAAGUGGCCCCCCAACAGAUACCAAGCUCUGGACCUCCUGGUGC